UCAUAGUUAAAGACCAAACCAUGCCUUCCACAGCCGACAACCUCCUUGCUAUUAUUCACUCUGCACCCCAUGCCUCGCCAGAGCUCACCCCGACCCCAGCUGCUCUCAGGCCAUGAACAGCCCCUGAUUUGGGGCCACCGCUGCUGCUGUGUGGAGACAGAAUGCUGUGUACUAACCCAGGAGUAUCUGCAGAGGAGACCAGUCCCACAGUGCACUAACAUCGAACAAUUGGCGCUAGACUGUCGUCCCCCUUGCAUGCUUCCUCAGCCUGUCCAGUUCUGUGGACCCUCAGAGUGACAAAGCAGGAUGGUAAUCUUUGACCACGCGGGGAUCAUCACCUUCUACAUGUGGUGCAGCCUCUCAGAUGCAAAGUUGUCUAUAGCUUAAUAAACACCAAGUGCUCUCUCA
Long non-coding RNA from Mastomys coucha (southern multimammate mouse), 408 nucleotides. RefSeq lists it as uncharacterized. The record is from RefSeq and is a predicted model, not a curated record. The transcript is spliced from 2 exons. NCBI's taxonomy places the organism in Eukaryota, Metazoa, Chordata, Mammalia, Rodentia, Muridae.